AAACAUUACAUGGAAAAUUCCAGAAAUAAUGCAUAAGUUUUAAAUUAUGCACAUUCUGAGUGGCAUGAUGAAAUCUUGCACCAUCCUGGUUCAUCUAACCCAGAACAUGAAUCAUCCCUUUGUCCAACCAUAUCCACACUGUAGACCCAAUGCUUACCCACCCAUUAGUCAUUUGGUUGUCUUGGCUUUACCAGAUUGACUGUUGGGAUAAUGCAGUGCUUGUGCUCAUGUAACCGUUAUGUAGUAAUCUAACGCUAUGUCGCAGUGCCUCUGUGGUUCACCUCACUUCAUCUCACUAUGUAGGUCCUGUAUCAUCUCACAGUGUGAGCAGAAGGGAAAGCGCUGUCCCCGUCCGGAUCUCAGCCACUCCUGGUGUGUUCUGCUCUGCAGAAAAGUGGAUCUUUCUGGAUAUUUAAGAGAAAGGAACCGAGAGAAGCCCAACGAGUGAAGAUGAGAGUGCCUUGCUUUUGGACUGUCUAGAGCAGGCGUUGGAAAACUUUUUUUGUAAAGGGCCAGAGUGAAUAUUUUGGGUUUUUGUGCCGUAUGGUCUCUUAUGCAAUUAUUCAGUUCUGCCAUUGUAGUAUGAAAGCAGCCAAAGACAAUCUGUACGCCAAUGAGUGUGCUUGUUUUCCAAUAAAAUCUUAUUUACAAAAA
This is a non-coding RNA of Oryctolagus cuniculus (rabbit), 654 nucleotides long. NCBI's taxonomy places the organism in Eukaryota, Metazoa, Chordata, Mammalia, Lagomorpha, Leporidae. The record is from RefSeq and is a predicted model, not a curated record.